RNAcentral lists this ribosomal RNA (792 nucleotides) under Triticum aestivum (bread wheat). RNAcentral's name for it is "partial small subunit ribosomal RNA". Lineage: Eukaryota; Viridiplantae; Streptophyta; Magnoliopsida; Poales; Poaceae. The record is from RNAcentral.
AUGAAUGACAAAUAUUUGGGGUUACCGACUACCUUAGGGUUGGAUAAAAGUGAUGGCUUCCAAUAUUUGAUUAAUAGUCUCAUUCAGAGAUUGACUGGUUAGAAAGAGAAGUGCCUAUCUUCAGGUGGGAAGGAGGUUUUAAUUAAGUCGGUUGCACAAGCAAUACCAACUUAUGCAAUAUCGUUCUUCAAAAUUCAUAAGAAAACAUGCAAAGAAAUUACUGAUGUGAUGUCACGGUUUCAGUGGGGUGAUGAUGCAAACCACAGAAGAAUGCACUUGUUCACUUGGUGGAAAAUGUGUAUCCCCAAUAGGAAAGGAAGAAUGGGAUCUGGGGACAUUCAUUGCUUUAGUCUCACACUUCUUGCUAAGCGGGCAUGAUGAUUGAUAGAUAACCCCGAUUCUUUAUUUAUGACCAUUUUGAAAGUGAAAUAUUUUUCGGAUGGUGACUUAAUUAAUGACAUUUUGAAAAGGAAAUCUUCCUACACCAGGCAAAGUGUGAUGGCGAGAGUUAACACGAUCAAAUGUGCUCAUAUUUGGAGGGUUGGUAGUGGAGAAAAAACAAAUAUAUGGGAAGAUGCCUGGAUACCACAAUCCCCUACAAAAAUGAUAAUUACUAGUAGAUGUAAUCAUCUCAUCUCACAGGUGUGUGAUCUCAUUGACCCAUCCACUGGAGAGUGGGACAUUCAACUGUGUGUUGAUGCCCAAAGAAUCAUAUCAUUACCCCUUAUGAUGCAUGAAACUAGAAAUUUCGUUUCUUACAGUCUCUCUAAGAAUGACUUGUUCACUAUAUGA